AACGAACGCUGGCGGCAUGCCUAACACAUGCAAGUCGAACGAAGUCUUCGGACUUAGUGGCGCACGGGUGCGUAACGCGUGGGAAUCUGCCCUUGGGUGCGGAAUAACUUCUCGAAAGGGAUGCUAAUACCGCAUAAUGUCGUAAGACCAAAGAUUUAUCGCCCAAGGAUGAGCCCGCGUAAGAUUAGCUAGUUGGUGGGGUAAAAGCCUACCAAGGCGACGAUCUUUAGCUGGUCUGAGAGGAUGAUCAGCCACACUGGGACUGAGACACGGCCCAGACUCCUACGGGAGGCAACAGUGGGGAAUAUUGGACAAUGGGCGAAAGCCUGAUCCAGCAAUGCCGCGUGAGUGAUGAAGGCCCUAGGGUUGUAAAGGCUCUUUUACCAGGGAUGAUAAUGACAGUACCUGGAGAAUAAGCUCCGGCUAACUCCGUGCCAGCAGCCGCGGUAAU
RNAcentral lists this ribosomal RNA (451 nucleotides) under uncultured bacterium. RNAcentral describes it as "bacterial SSU rRNA". It matches the Rfam family "Bacterial small subunit ribosomal RNA", at positions 29 to 524 of the family's 1533-position model. The record is from RNAcentral.